This 253-nucleotide ribosomal RNA is filed under the name uncultured bacterium. RNAcentral's name for it is "partial 16S ribosomal RNA". It matches the Rfam family "Bacterial small subunit ribosomal RNA", at positions 524 to 776 of the family's 1533-position model. The record is from RNAcentral.
UACAGAGGGGGCAAGCGUUGUUCGGAAUUACUGGGCGUAAAGGGCGCGUAGGCGGCCCGCUAAGUCGAACGUGAAAUCCCUGGGCUCAACCCAGGAACUGCGUCCGAUACUGGUUGGCUUGAAUCCGGGAGAGGGAUGUGGAAUUCCAGGUGUAGCGGUGAAAUGCGUAGAUAUCUGGAGGAACACCGGUGGCGAAGGCGACAUCCUGGACCGGCAUUGACGCUGAGGCGCGAAAGCCAGGGGAGCAAACGGG